RNAcentral lists this long non-coding RNA (445 nucleotides) under Dermacentor andersoni. RNAcentral's name for it is "uncharacterized LOC126543821". The record is from RNAcentral. Lineage: Eukaryota; Metazoa; Arthropoda; Arachnida; Ixodida; Ixodidae.
AAUAUACUUGAACUCGCAACUCUAGAUUCAAGACUUAAUUAAUCACACCUUUUGUUCCUGUAUAAGGUGGUCCAUGACAUUAUACAUUCCUUAAAGCUUCUUGAUCAUAUGCAUUUGUUUGUGCCGCAACAGUAUACCAGGUAGCAUUCCACAUUCGUUGCCUGGGCUUGUUACAAGAUUGUGCUAAUAAGACUCGACUCCAAAACAUACUUCAGAGUUCAUUUCCUGUGUAUUGUGUAUCUGUAGAUAAUCACGUAGGAUUAACUUCCUUUUACUUUUCCGCAUUUCUGUUUUUCCCUAUUUGUUUCUCUAUCUUCCAUUUUUUUUGUCUACUACAUUCAUGUUUUCUCUACAUUUUGUCUCACAUAGUGCUCGUUAAGUGCACCAGUACAAAGGCUCUCUAGCUGUUCCUGGGCACUACAAUAAAAAUUUGAAUGAUUGAUUA